CCUACGGGAGGCAGCAGUGGGGAAUAUUGGGCAAUGGAGGAAACUCUGACCCAGCGACGCCGCGUGCGGGAUGAAGGCCUUCGGGUUGUAAACCGCUUUCAGUAGGGAAGAAGCGAAAGUGACGGUACCUACAAAAGAAGCACCGGCUAACUAUGUGCCAGCAGCCGUGGUAAUACAUAGGGUGCAAGCGUUGUCCGGAAUUAUUGGGCGUAAAGAGCUCGUAGGUCGUUUGUUACGUCGGAUGUGAAAACCUGAGGCUCAACCUCAGGCCUGCAUUCGAUACGGGCAAACUAGAGUUUGGUAGGGGAGACUGGAAUUCCUGGUGUAGCGGUGGAAUGCGCAGAUAUCAGGAGGAACACCAAUGGCGAAGGCAGGUCUCUGGGCCAAUACUGACACUGAGGAGCGAAAGUCUGGGGAGCGAACAGGAUUAGAUACCCUGGUAGUCCAGACCGUAAACGGUGGGCACUAGUUGUGGGAACCUUCCACGGUUUCUGCGACGCAGCUAACGCAUUAAGUGCCCCGCCUGGGGAGUACGAUCGCAAGAUUAAAACCUUAAAGGAAUUGACGG
Molecule: ribosomal RNA, 568 nt
Filed under: uncultured bacterium
Lineage: Bacteria
Description: bacterial SSU rRNA
Rfam family: Bacterial small subunit ribosomal RNA
Source: RNAcentral